AGGCUGUCAUUAGGUUUGUCGGUUAUUCAGGGGAUUUGGUAAUUCUGAGAAUGUGUGACCUUAAAUUGACGUAGUUAAUUAAAAACCUAUCCAAACCUUAAUCCCAGCCCACACUAGUGGUUGAGCCAUAGGUGAGGGGGAGGAGUGAGGAGGAUUUGGUGUUAUACACCAGAUCAAACAGGAAGUACCAGUGAUGCGCUCAUUACGGACGUGGUCCGAUGAAUCAGACAUAAGGCUACAAAACUGUUUUGCUAGUACAGACUAGGAUAUGUUCCGGGAUUCAUCCAAUAGCAUUGAGGAGUUUACCACAUCAGUCGCAGGCUUCAUCAAUAAGUGCAUAGAUGAUGUCGUCCCCACAGUGACUAUACGAACGUAUCAAAACCAAAAACCAUGGAUUUACAGUCAAUAUCCUUGCUGGGCUAAAGGCUAGAGCUACCGCUUACAAGGAACGGGACAUGGAGGCAUAAAAGAAAGCCCGCUACGACCUUCGACAAGACAUCAAACAUGCAAAAGGACAAUAUAGGAGGAAGGUGGAAUCCUAAUGCACCGGCUCCGACGCUCGUCGUAUGUGGCAGGGCUUGGAGAUGAUAACGGAUUACAAAGGGAAACCCAGCUGAUCUGGCUCUCUGUGGCCGAUAAACUCUGAGGAUUACUCUACACGCAGCCAGAGACAGUUGCCGCAGCAUCGCCCUAGCAAAACAAACGUGUAACAACAGAUUGGCUGGUGAAAUGCACACUCGACCCUCUGAUUGGACCAGCAAACUGUCAAUCAACACAAGAGCUAGAAAAGAGAUUGCCGAUUUGCUGUACAGCUAUUGGAUCGGGUGCAGCGCAAAUUGUAGGGAGAUAGGAUUUCCACAAUAAUGCAAUCAAGCUCGAUAGACCACCCAAGAGGUGGGGCAAGUACUGGAUUGAGCAGAGUAGCGUGAGGCUGCCACUACCUUUGACCGGUAUGGUCCGGCGUCAGAGGAUAGGAGACACCAAACAGAUAUAUUAAACAAUGAUCUUUAUUAAAUACACAGAUUUAAGACAGCGUGUAUGAAAUGUUAGAUGACCUACUCAAUUCCUGCAGUCUCUGUAACCCAAUCACAAGUGCUGCAAUGACCUGAAGGUGUAAGGUAUAAGGUUGUGUGCCUUACACCAAUUGUUUUAACUCUGCACUGUUGGGAAGAGCUCGUAAGCAUUUCACGAUAAAGUCUACACCCGUUGUAUUCGGCACAUUUGACAAAUCCAAUUUUUUGUGAUCUGCACCUUUUCAUAGCGGCACAAUACUGAGAGAACCCCAAUAAUCCAAAUCCUAGUGAGAGAUAAAGUUGGUGAGGUUAAGUUACGUUAAAAAAAAGGAGAGAAAUAAAAAGGAGAGAAAGAAAGUAGGUGAGUGUAAAAGACAGUGAGAGUGACAGAAGGGGGACAGAGAGAGUGACAAAGGGGGGACAGAGAGAGUGGCAGAGGGGGGACAGAGAGAGGCAAACAUGCUUUGAGGGGUUAUUUUUAAGGUUCUUCACCACAGUUUCCUGGCUGCAGUACAACUAAAGCAUCUGGAUCUGUAUACGAUAGGGCAACGGCCAUGGAAAAUCCCAAUGGCUGAGAGUCUUCUCUCCCUCUUUUCCUCUCUCUCCCUCUCGCUCUUUCUCUCUGACCUCUGACCCCCACACCAUGACCCAUCCUUGUCUACAAUUUCCCCCUCUCACUUUAUUACAACCUCUUUAUUUAAAAAAAAAAAAAAAAAAACCUGACCUUCAACCUUUGAUCUAUGACCCCAGCCGACACUGUCCUGGCCUCGCCCAUCGCUCCAUUCUUCCUCACCUAACACCCCUGUCUCCUCUACACCACAGCAACGCCCAAUAGUAUAUACAAUACAAUAUUCCGUAUUUUCUACCAUUGCACCUAUCAAAAGCUGGUUCCAAUUACAAAGCUACAGUCCACUCCUCUCAUUUUUAGUUGGCUUUUCUCUGUUGCGACGGGAUUUCAUCCCCGCCUUUUAUUCUAUGCAAUCUGGUCCUCAUCUCUAAUGGGACCCCUGAGGGCCAGACCACAGGUGAGUGAGGAGAGGGGAGACUAGCCAAGGGUCUUCCAACUCCCAAAGCCUUCCCCAGGGUCCUCUCAAAGACUCCCACCGAGGCUUCUGUUAGAAAACCGAUCCUGCUUUUUCUACGGACCGGAGGUAAAAAAGUUACAGUCUGGGCAUACAGAGUGUUGACCUCAUCCUUCUCUCUUUCUCCCUCAGUUUUCCAUCCAUCCAUGGCCUGGUCCUGGACCACUAGUCCGUUCUGGUUCAGACAGUGUGUGAGAUAUUACAUGCAGAUGAAUCUGUCUCAGGGGCUCAAGGAAUUAUAGUGCAAAAAGUCCAAAUACAGUCCUGCAUGCAGAUUUUAAUAACCAAGGGCUAGGGAGGGUUGGGCAGCCCUAGAACAAUUGGAAGUACCAAUGUGCCACCCAAUCUCCUGUCCCUUCUGUGUGGACAUUAUGCAGUAGUUGGUGUCAUCAAUUGAGGGCACAAACGGGUAACACAAGUGUCACUGAUUAUGUUCCCGUAGCCUAUAUGUUAUUAUUGGCCUUUGCAGUUCUUUUGGUUUGCUGUCUCUUUUCUGACUCCUUAUUAAUUUCACUGUAGUUCCCUCCCCCUUGUUGGUCACCAUUGCAACCAGCACACCUAGGAGAGCUGCCAUACCUGAGCCUGAUGAGCUAAACGAGCCUGUGCGCCAUAUAAAAGGAGCUCCCGCCGUGACUUUUGCCACGGCUGGGUGAGAGGACGCCUCCGUGCCACGGAGCCACAACUGAGACAUGCUGCCACCUGGCAGGGGCUGGAGGAUAGAGUCGAGCGAGGAGUUAUAUGAUGCACAAUGCCUGCUAUUGAUCAGAUAAGUGGCGGUCAAUUUCCUGGAGUGUUUGACUGUUUCCGAGAGAAUGCUUCCCCUCUUGACCCCUGCUCUGUUCUUCCCCUCUUGACCUCUGCUCUGUUCUUCCCCUCUUGACCCCUGCUCUGAGAUCUUCCCACAUUUGCAAAUUCUUAUUGUGUCAGAGGAGGUGUCAGAAACAGACGUGGGCGCUCACACAGCCCACUGCUAUAGUACAUGAAGACUCUAAUGACCUUGAAUGUAAAUGUAUAGUACGCUAUAUAGCCAACCACCAGACCUUAUGGCAUGGAUGGAAGCCAGAUUUGACAGUUAUAUUUGAGUUUGCAUACCUAACACACUGGCUCUCUUUCAGAAUGACCUGCGUGCCAGUAAAUUCAACUCUUUCUUUGAUCCUUGGAGCAGGUGGUUUGAAAACUUAUGUUCCAUCCCUCUUCCCAAUCCCCUCAGUCCACAAUCAUUUGUUUUCAACCAGUUCAGUAAAACCAUAUGUUUAUUUUAUGGCUGUCAAACCGGCACCUCAGUGGACAACUAUUGGUCAGAGGAAAGGGAAAACAAUAACAUUUAUUGAUGUUCCAUGUCGUGAGAGGCAGGGAUGGUUCACUUGCAGACAGGUUUAAUUUGUUUUAUCUACAUAUGAGAAGAAAUUACUUGACUAGCUCUGAAUAAAAUCCUGCUUUUGGGAGUGUAUCGUCAACAGUCAUACUAUCAUGCCCAGACUAUAGGUGCUGCAUGAAUGGAUCAUCCUGCCACAUAGAAAUGCUCAUACUCAGACAGGAAAUACAGUCUUCUCCACAUGCCAGUAUAAUAUGGCAUCUUGGGAACAUUUAUAAUAUCCUGUCUCCAGGCGUCUUCCAAUUUCUCCCCGUGUUUUCCUCUCCAAACUGUUUUCUUCCCCUACAUCCUGAGGUCCAUGCCAGGGAGGAUCUGCUGACUCUUACCAAAGGACCUGAGAAGGCAGCCAAAUCCUGCCUGAAAAACUUCUUUCAUCCUCUUGAUUAAAUCCAAGGGAAUUAUUUCUUAAAAUCCAACAGGCUUGAUUGCCAAAAUGAAUAAUACAGAGAGAGCGAGGGGGAGGGAGGGAUGCCCCAGAGAGGAAGGACAGGAAAGAGAGGAGAGCGGGAGAGAACUAUUUUUCUCUCUCUCCUUCCUUGCAACAGAUUUCUUCUCCACCUUGAGUGUUUAGGGCAACUAGCUCUCACAGUCUGAUGUCAGAAUCAAACGUUCAUCCAUGUUACUCAAAGUCAAAUUUCGAAGUUGUUGCAAACAUCAAAUUUCAAAGUGUUUAAGGUUCAAUUCAGUCAUUGACUCAGAAUUGUUAGGGUUAAGUUUAGGCAUUAACUCUGAAUGGUUAAGGUAAGGGUUAAGGGUUGGGAUAGUUAAAGAAAAAAAAUCUCCAACAACUUUCUAUCGGUGGAUUUGAACUUGGAAUCAGAGGCAGAUGCUUGUGGGGGAGGCAGAUGCUUACGGCUAUCAGCCACGAUUUGUAUUUUAUAUUUCUUCCUUUCUUUUUUAGGGCUGACAAGGGAGAGAGGAGCCAUUUGGACACAUCCUUCAGAAUAUUUCAAUGGAGUCAUUGAUUUCAGUGUGGAUUUGUCAAGCUUGGACAGAACCCAUGUAAACCCAAACAACCUCUGGGCUGCAGCAAUUCAUCAUAUUCACAGCUGAAAUGAUGUCCACCAUCGCACCCAUUUUAUUUCAAUGGAGUAUUUGUAACUGCCUGUUACAUAACUGAGAAUAAAUGGUUUACAGGCUCUCUCUCUCCCUCUCUCUCUAUCGCACAUGCUAACUGAAGCUAGUUUUCCAGGUAUGAAUAUUCUCCAUGGGGAAUCCAACCAAUAACAGACAACUAAAGUUGAUGAAGUCCACCCAUCCCUCCAUGGUUCUUCUCCUGUGCUUAGAGUUCUUGAAGGCCAUGAUAAAUAAAGCAACCCUCUUGGGCUAAGCAGCAAGAAAAGGCAGGUAGCCAGUCACCUAAGCCCAGCAGCAAUCAAGCAAGAGCCCAACACCCUCCUCCAUACAAUAACCUCCGUUCUCCCAGGUCCUUGGCUCCUCAUACACAGACGGGGAGCUCCAUCUCUGGGCACUCAGAACCAGGCGUGAGGCCCAAACGGGUGCCCUGUCUUCAGCUCCAAAUGACCACCGCCCCUCUUUCAUGCCAGGAACAGUGGAGCAACGGAGCUGGAAAGUCUUACCCUCCUCUUGUUGACGCUCCAGUUUAAACAGUUUUCCACUCAAACAGAGCUGAUGGCAGCUUGUCGAGGACAUAGUGAAUGGUACUCCAUCUUUGGGACAAGUAAGGGCAGCUUUGUGUCCCUUUAGCUUUGCUCAGCUCAGUAAUGUGCUGAGAAAGACACAAGGCAAUGGAAAUUAUUGAGGAGUUUCUGUAAUUCCCUGGUAAACUACACUGAAUAAAAAUAUAAAUGCAUCACGUAAA
This is a long non-coding RNA of Salmo salar (Atlantic salmon), 5292 nucleotides long. RefSeq lists it as uncharacterized. The record is from RefSeq and is a predicted model, not a curated record. NCBI's taxonomy places the organism in Eukaryota, Metazoa, Chordata, Actinopteri, Salmoniformes, Salmonidae.